CCUACGGGAGGCAGCAGUGGGGAAUAUUGCGCAAUGGGCGAAAGCCUGACGCAGCGACGCCGCGUGAGGGAUGAAGGUCUUCGGAUCGUAAACCUCUGUCAGCAGGGAAGAACGGUCACUGUGCUAAUCAGCAGUGAAUUGACGGUACCUGCAAAGGAAGCACCGGCUAACUCCGGGACAGCAGCCGCGGUAGUACGGAGGGUGCGAGCGUUAAUCGGAAUUACUGGGCGUAAAGCGCUCGUAGGCGGUAUGUCAAGUCAAGGGUGAAGUCCCCGCGCUCAACGUGGGAACUGCCUUUGAAACUGGCAAACUGGAGUGUGUGAGAGGAUAGUGGAAUUCCAGGUGUAGGAGUGAAAUCCGUAGAUAUCUGGAGGAACAUCAGUGGCGAAGGCGACUAUCUGGCACAUAACUGACGCUGAGGAGCGAAAGCGUGGGUAGCAAACAGGAUUAGAUACCCGGGUAGUC
RNAcentral lists this ribosomal RNA (465 nucleotides) under uncultured bacterium. RNAcentral's name for it is "partial 16S ribosomal RNA". It matches the Rfam family "Bacterial small subunit ribosomal RNA", at positions 338 to 795 of the family's 1533-position model. The record is from RNAcentral.